UUGCUGCUUCGCUGACGAGUGGCGGACGGGUGAGUAAUGUCUGGGAAACUGCCUGAUGGAGGGGGAUAACUACUGGAAACGGUGGCUAAUACCGCAUAACGUCGCAAGACCAAAGAGGGGGACCUUCGGGCCUCUUGCCAUCGGAUGUGCCCAGAUGGGAUUAGCUAGUAGGUGGGGUAACGGCUCACCUAGGCGACGAUCCCUAGCUGGUCUGAGAGGAUGACCAGCCACACUGGAACUGAGACACGGUCCAGACUCCUACGGGAGGCAGCAGUGGGGAAUAUUGCACAAUGGGCGCAAGCCUGAUGCAGCCAUGCCGCGUGUAUGAAGAAGGCCUUCGGGUUGUAAAGUACUUUCAGCGGGGAGGAAGGGAGUAAGGUUAAUACCUUUGCUCAUUGACGUUACCCGCAGAAGAAGCACCGGCUAACUCCGUGCCAGCAGCCGCGGUAAUACGGAGGGUGCAAGCGUUAAUCGGAAUUACUGGGCGUAAAGCGCACGCAGGCGGUUUGUUAAGUCAGAUGUGAAAUCCCCGGGCUCAACCUGGGAACUGCAUCUGAUACUGGCAAGCUUGAGUCUCGUAGAGAGGGGUAGAAUUCCAUUGUUUAGC
Molecule: ribosomal RNA, 607 nt
Filed under: Shigella sonnei
Lineage: Bacteria; Pseudomonadati; Pseudomonadota; Gammaproteobacteria; Enterobacterales; Enterobacteriaceae
Description: bacterial SSU rRNA
Rfam family: Bacterial small subunit ribosomal RNA
Source: RNAcentral